GACGAACGCUGGCGGCGUGCCUAAUACAUGCAAGUUGAUCGCUGAAGGUUGGUACUUGUACCAACUGGAUGAGCAGCGAACGGGUGAGUAACGCGUGGGGAAUCUGCCUUUGAGCGGGGGACAACAUUUGGAAACGAAUGCUAAUACCGCAUAAAAACUUUAAACACAAGUUUUAAGUUUGAAAGAUGCAAUUGCAUCACUCAAAGAUGAUCCCGCGUUGUAUUAGCUAGUUGGUGAGGUAAAGGCUCACCAAGGCGAUGAUACAUAGCCGACCUCAGAGGGUGAUCGGCCACAUUGGGACUGAGACACGGCCCAAACUCCUACGGGAGGCAGCAGUAGGGAAUCUUCGGCAAUGGACGAAAGUCUGACCGAGCAACGCCGCGUGAGUGAAGAAGGUUUUCGGAUCGUAAAACUCUGUUGGUAGAGAAGAACGUUGGUGAGAGUGGAAAGCUCAUCAAGUGACGGUAACUACCCAGAAAGGGACGGCUAACUACGUG
This 497-nucleotide ribosomal RNA is filed under the name uncultured bacterium. RNAcentral describes it as "partial 16S ribosomal RNA". It matches the Rfam family "Bacterial small subunit ribosomal RNA", at positions 28 to 507 of the family's 1533-position model. The record is from RNAcentral.